This 928-nucleotide ribosomal RNA is filed under the name uncultured bacterium. RNAcentral's name for it is "bacterial SSU rRNA". It matches the Rfam family "Bacterial small subunit ribosomal RNA", at positions 56 to 995 of the family's 1533-position model. The record is from RNAcentral.
UGCAGUCGAACGGAAGGCCCUGCUUUUGUGGGGUGCUCGAGUGGCGAACGGGUGAGUAACACGUGAGUAACCUGCCCUUGACUUUGGGAUAACUUCAGGAAACUGGGGCUAAUACCGGAUAGGAGCUCCUGCUGCAUGGUGGGGGUUGGAAAGUUUCGGCGGUUGGGGAUGGACUCGCGGCUUAUCAGCUUGUUGGUGGGGUAGUGGCUUACCAAGGCUUUGACGGGUAGCCGGCCUGAGAGGGUGACCGGCCACAUUGGGACUGAGAUACGGCCCAGACUCCUACGGGAGGCAGCAGUGGGGAAUAUUGCACAAUGGGCGGAAGCCUGAUGCAGCAACGCCGCGUGCGGGAUGACGGCCUUCGGGUUGUAAACCGCUUUCGCCUGUGACGAAGCGUGAGUGACGGUAAUGGGUAAAGAAGCACCGGCUAACUACGUGCCAGCAGCCGCGGUGAUACGUAGGGUGCGAGCGUUGUCCGGAUUUAUUGGGCGUAAAGGGCUCGUAGGUGGUUGAUCGCGUCGGAAGUGUAAUCUUGGGGCUUAACCCUGAGCGUGCUUUCGAUACGGGUUGACUUGAGGAAGGUAGGGGAGAAUGGAAUUCCUGGUGGAGCGGUGGAAUGCGCAGAUAUCAGGAGGAACGCCAGUGGCGAAGGCGGUUCUCUGGGCCUUUCCUGACGCUGAGGAGCGAAAGCGUGGGGAGCGAACAGGCUUAGAUACCCUGGUAGUCCACGCUGUAAACGGUGGGUACUAGGUGUGGGGUCCAUUCCACGGGUUCCGUGCCGUAGCUAACGCUUUAAGUACCCCGCCUGGGGAGUACGGCCGCAAGGCUAAAACUCAAAGGAAUUGACGGGCCCCGCACAAGCGGCGGAGCAUGCGGAUUAAUUCGAUGCAACGCGUAGAACCUUACCUGGGUUUGACAUGGAUCGGGA